Non-coding RNA from Arachis ipaensis, 2567 nucleotides. The record is from RefSeq and is a predicted model, not a curated record. Lineage: Eukaryota; Viridiplantae; Streptophyta; Magnoliopsida; Fabales; Fabaceae.
CGGUUGUGAUUUUCAUCAUUCAAAGAGAAUCCUUGUUAGUUGUGAAGCUUCCCUGCACUCUUAUUGUCUUUCGAUCUUUUUAUUUCCCCCAUAUUUAAAGUAAACUCCCCCAUAUUUAUUGUCUUUUGAGAAAUGAUUGCUAGAGGCUUAUUGAAUGGUUUAUAGAAGGUAAGAUACAUCAACUCAAAUUAAUAAUUUUUCUAUUAUUGUUGAAAUUAUUACAAAACUUCGUAAAUUUUGUGGCAAUUGGAUUGGAGGAUUUGGGAAUUAUCAUGAACUCAAUAGCAGCGGUUUUGGUUAUCUCAUUAUUAUGAAUGGAUUUUGAACUUUUGUUAUUGGAUGACUUUUGAGUCUCUGUUUGUUGCCAUGGCUAUAAUGCAUCCUGUUUUGGUAGAUAUUUUUUGUUGUAACUGAUUUGUUAGUGCUUAAGAUUUCUUGAUAGUAACCUAGAACUCAUGAUUGGUGUGAUGAGCAACUGUGCUUUAUUUGACUGAAUUUCCUAGGAAAAGAUAUGUAGUGCCAAGAGCCUAAGAUUAAUGGCAUAGGUAUAUGAUUUUCACUGCUAUCUUCAAAACAAAUUCAUCUGCUAAAUGCAUGACCCCACUUUUUUGUUAACCGUUUUUGACGUUUUGAUAUUUUUUACAAUCUGAUGACAGCUGAAGAAAUCUGUAUAUUAAAGUAUGUUAUCACACAAUGUGAAUUUGGGUUAUGGUUUAAAUAUGAAGUAUCUUAAACCUUUGGUCAUUUUCAUAGUUAGUGUUACUCGGCUGUAAUUCUUAGAAACUUAAUCAACGGAAAAUAUGUACAUAUGAAAUAGCUCAUCACAGAGAUUUUCUUUUAAUGUGUAGUUGAACUGUUUCAUUACUUGUUGAAAUCCUAUAUAGGGAUUAUUGCAUUGACAUUGUUUAAACAUGUUGGAAAAGCUUUUAUUAUUAAAACAUGGUUUGGAGUUUUGUUGUUUGUUAUCAGCUACACCUGUCUUAAAAGAUCUGGUGAUUCUAACUCCAAGUACAAUUGUUUUUACACCUAUUUCUUUGGUUUUUCUAAAUCUACUUUGCAUUGUGAUGGCUGAGGUUAGAAUAAAGAACUAAUAGUGAAACAAUAUUGUACAAUUUGAGGUUGCAUUUUUUUAGAAUAUCUUUGAAUGUUAGUACAAUUUCUUUUGGGAUCAAAAGUUGAACUAUGAUAUAGCCUCGUUGCUGAUUAACUUAUUUUAUCUAACUGAUUUUGACCCUGUAUUGGUGGUUGAGUAUUUUGGAUUCUUGACAUGGAUUUCAUCUUUGUUCCACGAGUAAUACCGAUCUACCUUACUGAUUUCUAGGUGCACUGAAGCAUGUUAAGUUGCAGCAUGGGGCAGACAAAAAUUGAACUUCUCCCAAGCAAAUCGGUGGUUCUCAAGUGCCACAAACCAGAGACAAUGUAAGCAUGAGAAGGCUCAAUCAUGGAAUAUGUAUCAAUAACUAAGAUAAGACCAAUACAUUGUUGAUGUUGAAAAGUUAUGAACUGCAAUGUGUGGGAAUGAACCAUAUCAAAUGGGUAAAAUGUAGUCAAUUUAAUCUGAUAAAUGCAUAAUUGCAUAAGAAAUUUAAUCUUUGAUUAUUAUUUUCUUCUUACUUUUACUCAAAACUCUGUUAAGAAAAAUUGCUGAAAACAAUGUCAUUUCUAUAAUUCUUUGGAAGGUUACAUUACAAGAUAUAUAUAUAUAAGGGCUGAUUCAAAUAUCUUUUCACUUUAGACAUUGUUUUUGGAUUCAAGCUUUAACCAGACUGCAUCAAAAUUGCACACACGGACUAUCAUUUUUCUUUCAAGAACCUCUCAGUGGAACUAUUCUACUAAGUACUAUCAUUGACAUGUUUUGGUAGGCACAGUUCUUUGCAACUGAAUGCUACAAGAGGUAGCAUUUCAGGGGCCAAAUCCAAAUUGUUGAGGGGGAUUCUUAUUUGUACAAAUGAUACUUUGAAUUGGAACGAGCACGAAGGAAUUAACGAUACUUCAUCUUUUGAGUUGUUCUACUAGAUCGGUCGCUCAAGACCUUUGGUCUCUGCCCGGACUUGAUGAAAAAAAUGGGAUCACUUCUUAUGAACUCGUUGAGAAUGAUUCUGAUCUAGUUCAUGGCCUAUUAGAAGUAGAAGGCGCUCUGGUGGGAUCCUCAUAGACAAAAAAAGGUUGCAGUCAGUUUGAUAAUGAUCGAGUAACAUUGUUUCUUCGGUCCGAACAAAGAAAUUCCUUAAAUAUGAUUUAAAAUAGAUCUUGUUUUAUCGUUGAUCAGAGAUUUCUCUACGAAAAAUAUGGAUCAGAGUUUGAAGAAGGGGAAGGAGUUUUCGACCCGCAACGGAUGGAGGAGGAUUUAUUCAAUCACAUAGUUUGGGCUCCUAGAAUAUGACGCUUUCUUCUUUUCAUGCUCUGCUACUUCAUUGUCUAAGGAGGCUUCAUUGUUUAAGGAGGCUUUAGCAAUUUUGGUGACGAAAAUGAAUAGAAUGCCUAAGAAGAAUAAUUGUUAUUAUUAGAUCUCCAAAAGAAAAUUUGGAUGAAAUCAAAGCUAAAAGAAGGAGAACGGAUUUUCUAAA